CAAGUUGUCAAGGCUGGAGUCCCUGAAGUGAGAGACUGCUAUUUGGGGACUCCAGUUUUCAGCUUUUUAUCUUUUAUUGUGGCAAUAAAGAUUUUGGAAGAUCAAUAUUCUUUGGCUGUGCACAUCUUUUACAAGAUUGGUCCACCCCACAAGAGGAAGCUGAAUGCUGUAUGGUGGUGGAGAGGAGCCUUGACAGCUUGAGCAGACUUACCUGCACUUUGGUCAUAAUUGUGCACUUUAAUUCACCAUGCACUUUUAAUUGUGCACUUUACGAUAUUGUGUUUUUUU
Molecule: non-coding RNA, 288 nt
Organism: Pelobates cultripes (western spadefoot toad)
Lineage: Eukaryota; Metazoa; Chordata; Amphibia; Anura; Pelobatidae
Source: the annotation of a GenBank genome assembly